Molecule: ribosomal RNA, 200 nt
Filed under: uncultured bacterium
Lineage: Bacteria
Description: partial 16S ribosomal RNA
Rfam family: Bacterial small subunit ribosomal RNA
Source: RNAcentral
AGAGUUUGAUCAUGGCUCAGGAUGAACGCUAGCGGCAGGCUUAAUACAUGCAAGUCGAGGGGCAGCGCAGUGUAGCAAUACAUGGGCGGCGACCGGCAAACGGGUGCGGAACACGUACACAACCUUCCUUUUAGUGAGGAAUAGCCCGGGGAAACCCGGAUUAAUACCUCGUAACAUCAUGAAAUGGCAUCGUUUUAUGA